This 82-nucleotide transfer RNA is filed under the name Ancylostoma ceylanicum. It matches the Rfam family "tRNA". Rfam says of the family: Transfer RNA (tRNA) molecules are approximately 80 nucleotides in length. The record is from Rfam by way of RNAcentral. Lineage: Eukaryota; Metazoa; Nematoda; Chromadorea; Rhabditida; Ancylostomatidae.
ACACAUGUGGCCGAAUGGAUAAGGCAUUGGAAUUGGAAUCAUCAACUUCGGAAAUAGGUAGGUUCGAAUCCUAUUAUGUGGA